This is a long non-coding RNA of Lampris incognitus (smalleye Pacific opah), 386 nucleotides long. RefSeq lists it as uncharacterized. The record is from RefSeq and is a predicted model, not a curated record. The transcript has 3 exons. NCBI's taxonomy places the organism in Eukaryota, Metazoa, Chordata, Actinopteri, Lampriformes, Lampridae.
UUUAGGUAACGAUGCAGAUAUCUGGCUCCCUGUCUCAGUGUGAAAGUUCCUUAUGGACCCCCCAUCUUAUGACGAGGCCAACCUGCACCCCCCCGCUUUCGGCACAGCGGUGCUCAACGCCAGCCCCCCUCCUACCUACGACGCCUCCCUUGCAUCGCGAUCCACACCCCCUCCCACCUAUGGAGAAGCAGCAUUUCAAAUGCUGAUACGCUGGGCCUUCGCUGAAGUCCUAGAAGUCCCUAAGGAUUCCCCCUCUCUUUUCCAUGUAUACCACGGCCCGCUGUCGGUUGCUGCGCAAGUGGGUGUAGUUACCCUGCCGCCGGACCCUUACCCCAUCCUGACUGCUCCAGCCGUGCUGACCUCUGUGAGCCCGCACCCGCAGCAGA